GAGUUUUAACGAUGUUUAGGAGUAUAGAGGUACAAUUCUAGACUUAGUUUCAAGGAAUUCAAGGUUAUCACAGACGCGAAAGAAAACCUACGCUCUGAUACCAUUAUGUAACAGCCCAACUUUGGGAAAAUAAUAAUAAUGAUAAUAAAAAAAAACGAGAGUUUGACCUUCUUAAUGUUGGCUGCUUUGUUAUUCUACAGGAGCUCCAAAAGAACAAAUUAAGAAAUGAAUGAAUUAUAGAAGAAAAUAAAGAGGAAGCUGUGGAAGGAGUGAAGGAUUUACCGUCUCAAUGAUUGGAGCUUGCUGGUGGGUGGGGAACAAAAGAGAAGGAUUUUUAUUUUGGGAUUGAAACUGACGUGGAGAUGUAAAUAAAAAUAUUGGAAUGUUGAGUUGAGGAGUAGGCAGUACGUGGCUUUCUUGUUUACCAACCUAUUGAAUAAAAUAAGAUAUGGACUUGAUUGGUUUUG
This 467-nucleotide long non-coding RNA is filed under the name Salvia miltiorrhiza (redroot sage). RNAcentral describes it as "long non-coding RNA (SMIL_LNC006806)". Lineage: Eukaryota; Viridiplantae; Streptophyta; Magnoliopsida; Lamiales; Lamiaceae. The record is from RNAcentral.